ACGUACACUCCUACGGGAGGCAGCAGUGGGGAAUAUUGCACAAUGGGCGCAAGCCUGAUGCAGCCAUGCCGCGUGUAUGAAGAAGGCCUUCGGGUUGUAAAGUACUUUCAGCGGGGAGGAAGGCAAUACGGUUAAUAACCGUGUUGAUUGACGUUACCCGCAGAAGAAGCACCGGCUAACUCCGUGCCAGCAGCCGCGGUAAUACGGAGGGUGCAAGCGUUAAUCGGAAUUACUGGGCGUAAAGCGCACGCAGGCGGUCUGUCAAGUCGGAUGUGAAAUCCCCGGGCUCAACCUGGGAACUGCAUUCGAAACUGGCAGGCUUGAGUCUUGUAGAGGGGGGUAGAAUUCCAGGUGUAGCGGUGAAAUGCGUAGAGAUCUGGAGGAAUACCGGUGGCGAAGGCGGCCCCCUGGACAAAGACUGACGCUCAGGUGCGAAAGCGUGGGGAGCAAACAGGAUUAGAUACCCCAGUAGUCCCAUG
This 479-nucleotide ribosomal RNA is filed under the name uncultured organism. Its description in RNAcentral is "partial 16S ribosomal RNA". It matches the Rfam family "Bacterial small subunit ribosomal RNA", at positions 329 to 799 of the family's 1533-position model. The record is from RNAcentral.